Long non-coding RNA from Tyto alba (common barn owl), 1729 nucleotides. RefSeq lists it as uncharacterized. The transcript is spliced from 4 exons. NCBI's taxonomy places the organism in Eukaryota, Metazoa, Chordata, Aves, Strigiformes, Tytonidae. The record is from RefSeq and is a predicted model, not a curated record.
GACCUAGCGAGGCCCGGCUCAGCCCGAUCUCGCCCAGCUGAGCCCAGCCAGGCCCAGCUCGCCUCAGCCUGACCUUGCCCGGCUCGGCCGGGUUCAGCCCAGCCCGGCUGAGCUGGGUUCGGCCCAGCUCGGACUGGGUUCAGCCUAACCCAAGCCAGCCCAGCUCAGUUGGGUUCGGCCCGAACCGGCCUGGCUCAGCGCAGCUCCUUGUCAUGGCUGGCAGGGCCCAUAGGAAGGGUUUACGUUCCUGCUGGCGCUUGGUGCGAUGCCGUGCGCGCAGCGAGGGCUUCAGCAAACCGCCUGUUGGGAGAAGAGCUCGGGGAGGCAGCGGUGUCCCGUCCCCCCCCCCCCCCCCGUCCCCCCCCCGAGCCACGUCCUGAGGCGACAGGGCUCCUCCGCCCUUGCAGAAGGGUUUCCCACCACCCUUGUGCUCUUCCCAGCCCGUCUUGCCCUCCACAAGAGCUCACACCAGCCCUCGGAGAGCCACACUACGGGGUGAGACCAGGCAUGCCGGUAGCACCGGGCAGCUUUUUUUGUAGGAGCAAAAGUGGAAACUUGGGGAAAAAUCUGUGGACUGCUCGUCAUGCAAUGGAGGCAAGAGCUGACGAAAGCUUUUUAGGUCUUCUUUAUGGGAGGUUACCCCCAGGGAGAAGCAGCAUGUCAUUUAGAGAUGGUUACUGUGUUGGUUCUUGGGAGUAGCACUUUCAAGAUGACUAAAUUUUGUGAAUGAAAAGGCUCUCAGAGAGUAAUGCUUUAACCAUCACAGAGAAGCUGGUAUAUGGACCUUGUUUCUGCCUGGGCUGAAAGUGGACUUCCCUGAGUGCUGUUACACCUUUAACCAGCACUUACUUGGGGCGAGAAGCACUGGAAUCUGAAGCGGCAGAGCCUAGGAUGGCAUUUAGUGCAGGCUUGAAACGCAGCCUCCUACCUUCACCUCCUCUUGCUUUUAAAACCCAUACCUUUGAGCUGAAAUCUUCCAUGCGGUUGAUUUGGGAACCUAAAUAUGAAUUAGUACUUUGUUGACUCUGCUAGUUUCAAUGACUUUUCAACUGACUCACUCGGUGACUUUGAAUGAGUGGAAGUCAGCAGUCCUGAAUCAUGCCAUCCUCCAGACAACUACCCCCCUCACCAAUAAUUCUUUUGAGCAGCAAUCAUAUUUUAAAAGCAAUGAUUACAGCCGUGUUUUCCCCCACUAUAAUCGCUCAGAAUUUAGGAGCUACGGAAACGACCUGCAACAUUUGCAGUCAGCUUGAAAGCUUUCAGAGCUGACACAUUUUGGGAGGUCACGGAGUGUGGAAAUACAAAGGGUUUUUUUUUCAGCAGGAGUGGGAUUUCAGCAUGUGGUUUGGAGAAUUGUCAGGAGGAUUUCGGGCACCUGCCGGGGAAGAAGAGGUGGAGGGCUCCUCACAGUCUUGCCAGGAUGUCCUUUGGAAGGGCGGUAAGACCAGAGCAAGAAAGCAGAAAGGGACCCUCACUGCCAGAGAUCUGACUGUCCCACUGUUUUCUCCAUUUCUUGGGUUUUGUAACCCUGUGUUUUACUAGGACAGAAAAUGGCAACAAAGCUUACGUGAUCUCUUCACUACUGCAUGAAUGCACCUCUGUACAACUUUGAGAUGCUGGGGCUGGUGGCCGGGGGGAAGAAGGGGAAGGGAGGAACAGAGGAGGAGAGUAGAGAUCUCCAAAACAAUCCAGUACUUACUGGUUCAAAUCAAAUAAAUGUCUGUUUGGA